UGGGGAAUAUUGCACAAUGGGGAAACCCUGAUGCAGCGACGCCGCGUGGAGGAAGAAGGCCCUCGGGUUGUAAACUCCUGUCUUCGGGGACGAUAAUGACGGUACCCGAGGAGGAAGCCACGGCUAACUACGUGCCAGCAGCCGCGGUAAAACGUAGGUGGCAAGCGUUGUCCGGAAUUACUGGGUGUAAAGGGAGCGCAGGCGGAGCGGCAAGUUGGAGGUGAAACCCAUGGGCUCAACCCAUGAACUGCCUUCAAAACUGCCGGUCUUGAGUGGUGUAGAGGUAAGCGGAAUUCCCGGUGUAGCGGUGGAAUGCGUAGAUAUCGGGAGGAACACCAGUGGCGAAGGCGGCUUACUGGGCACUAACUGACGCUGAGGCUCGAAAGCAUGGGUAGCAAACAGGAUUAGAUACC
This 413-nucleotide ribosomal RNA is filed under the name uncultured bacterium. Its description in RNAcentral is "bacterial SSU rRNA". It matches the Rfam family "Bacterial small subunit ribosomal RNA", at positions 355 to 786 of the family's 1533-position model. The record is from RNAcentral.